Molecule: unclassified non-coding RNA, 286 nt
Filed under: Hevea brasiliensis (rubber tree)
Lineage: Eukaryota; Viridiplantae; Streptophyta; Magnoliopsida; Malpighiales; Euphorbiaceae
Source: RNAcentral
AACCCAGGAUCCACAUUAAACGUCCAGGUCACGUUAAAAUUGGCAUUAGAAUCAUCAUUAGCACCAGCCACGUUCAUCUCACUACAAGUACCAUAAACUGACGGUGGUGCAAAAUCUGGUGUUGCUCCAUCUGCUGGAUAUUUUACGGAUCCAAUCUUACUAACCGACUUAGCUGAACUCGGCUGGAUCAAGAAACUUUGAUCCGUAACCCAAGUUCUCCAAAGUGUAUCAUUAUCAAACGACACCAACGAUCCACCCAUGUUUACCCUAGCAACCGUUUCGAGAG